RNAcentral lists this ribosomal RNA (274 nucleotides) under uncultured bacterium. RNAcentral's name for it is "partial 16S ribosomal RNA". It matches the Rfam family "Bacterial small subunit ribosomal RNA", at positions 523 to 796 of the family's 1533-position model. The record is from RNAcentral.
AUACAGAGGGUGCGAGCGUUAAUCGGAAUUACUGGGCGUAAAGCGCGCGUAGGCGGCUACUUAAGUCAGAUGUGAAAUCCCCGGGCUCAACCUGGGAACUGCAUCUGAUACUGGGUAGCUAGAGUUUUGGAGAGGGAAGUAGAAUUUCAGGUGUAGCGGUGAAAUGCAUAGAGAUCUGAAGGAAUACCAGUGGCGAAGGCGACUUCCUUGCCAAAAACUGACGCUGAGGUGCGAAAGCGUGGGUAGCAAACGGGAUUAGAAACCCGAGUAGUCC